AGAUGUAGCUCAGUAGUAAAGCACUUGCCUUGCAUGUACAAAGCCCUGGGUUUGAUCCCCAGCAUUU
RNAcentral lists this transfer RNA (67 nucleotides) under Heterocephalus glaber (naked mole-rat). It matches the Rfam family "tRNA". From Rfam's summary of the family: Transfer RNA (tRNA) molecules are approximately 80 nucleotides in length. Their secondary structure includes four short double-helical elements and three loops (D, anti-codon, and T loops). The record is from Rfam by way of RNAcentral. Lineage: Eukaryota; Metazoa; Chordata; Mammalia; Rodentia; Bathyergidae.